GUGGGGAAUUUUGGACAAUGGGCGCAAGCCUGAUCCAGCAAUGCCGCGUGCAGGAAGAAGGCCUUCGGGUUGUAAACUGCUUUUGUACGGAACGAAACGGUCCUGGUUAAUACCCGGGGCUAAUGACGGUACCGUAAGAAUAAGCACCGGCUAACUACGUGCCAGCAGCCGCGGUAAUACGUAGGGUGCAAGCGUUAAUCGGAAUUACUGGGCGUAAAGCGUGCGCAGGCGGUGCUGUAAGACAGGCGUGAAAUCCCCGGGCUCAACCUGGGAAUUGCGCUUGUGACUGCAAGGCUGGAGUGCGGCAGAGGGGGAUGGAAUUCCGCGUGUAGCAGUGAAAUGCGUAGAUAUGCGGAGGAACACCGAUGGCGAAGGCAAUCCCCUGGGCCUGCACUGACGCUCAUGCACGAAAGCGUGGGGAGCAAACAGGAUUAGAAACCCGAGUAGUCC
RNAcentral lists this ribosomal RNA (450 nucleotides) under uncultured bacterium. RNAcentral's name for it is "partial 16S ribosomal RNA". It matches the Rfam family "Bacterial small subunit ribosomal RNA", at positions 354 to 796 of the family's 1533-position model. The record is from RNAcentral.